UACGUAGGGCGCAAGCGUUAUCCGGAAUUAUUGGGCGUAAAGAGCUCGUAGGCGGUGUGUCGCGUCGGCCGUGAAAACCUGGGGCUUAACUCUGGGCUUGCGGUCGAUACGGGCAUCACUGGAGUUCGGCAGGGGAGACUGGAAUUCCUGGUGUAGCGGUGAAAUGCGCAGAUAUCAGGAGGAACACCGGUGGCGAAGGCGGGUCUCUGGGCCGAUACUGACGCUGAGGAGCGAAAGCGUGGGGAGCGAACAGG
This 254-nucleotide ribosomal RNA is filed under the name uncultured bacterium. RNAcentral's name for it is "partial 16S ribosomal RNA". It matches the Rfam family "Bacterial small subunit ribosomal RNA", at positions 524 to 776 of the family's 1533-position model. The record is from RNAcentral.